RNAcentral lists this ribosomal RNA (254 nucleotides) under Tricholoma bakamatsutake. RNAcentral describes it as "partial small subunit ribosomal RNA". Lineage: Eukaryota; Fungi; Basidiomycota; Agaricomycetes; Agaricales; Tricholomataceae. The record is from RNAcentral.
UGGGAAGAAGUUUAAUUUGGGGGAAACUGCCGCGAGGUUAUAACUUUAACAAAGGUAUACUUUACUUAAUAAUAUUUAUUGUUAUUUAUAAUUAUUAUAUUAUUAGAAUAAAUUAAAUAUUUAAUCAUACUUAAUUUAAAAGUAGUUUGUACGCUAAUAUUUUAAUACAAUUGUUUUAUAUUGUAAUUAGUCAUUUAUAAUAAAACACCUUUGUUAAGCUAAUUAGUUUCAGUUAACUCAGUUAAGUAACAUCU